Non-coding RNA from Myodes glareolus (Bank vole), 1433 nucleotides. NCBI's taxonomy places the organism in Eukaryota, Metazoa, Chordata, Mammalia, Rodentia, Cricetidae. The record is from RefSeq and is a predicted model, not a curated record.
CUGGGAUUGCAGGUGUGUGACACCCCGCCCAGUGUAAGAAGGCAGCUUUGAACAAGCAGGAGUGAAAGCUAGAACAAGUAAGUCAGUUUACACUGGCUCAAAGCCAUGGAACUUUUUCUCCAGCAGAGCCGAGAGAGAAAGUGUAGUAGCCUUCGUUCAGAGGUGGAGUUUAGGAAGGCGGGAGACAAGUUGUGGGGGAAAGAAGGUCCCUGUCAGGAUAAUUACUGAUAACAUGAUUAACAGGAGAAGGGAAAGCAAGCAAAGGGAGCGAUCCUUGGUACUGUGAACUGCUGGAAGGCGGGAAGCAGAGAGGGUGCUGCUCAGUGAAAGACCUCUGGGAGCCUGAUAAAGUGAUUCCAGAACCUUCUGGUAUUUCCUCAACAGAGCGAAAAGAUGCUUCCUGACACAAGCUGACCAGUGCUGUGUUUGAGGGAGUCCUUCCCUGCAAGUUCCCGAGCCAUCCUCCUUCAUACUUCAAGGCAUAGAAACAUAGAGAGAUUGACAGUUUUCGUGGCUGAACUGGGUAGAAUAGAAGAGAGAUUCUCCAGAUGGCCCUACGGGAUCCGCCGUCUUUGCUGUCUUUCGCCUUGACCAGACCUCCACUGCAGAGCAACCUCAAAAUGGGAGAGGAGCUCUUGGGGGAACCUAAGCGAGGAGUGUUGCAGGAAAAUUUGCCAACACAUCUCAAAGUCCUCUUUGGCUGAUAUCAAACGGAGCUCAGCUUCUAAAGAGCGAGAAAAGAGCAGGGAUCUAAGAUGGAGACUAAUCUUCCCGACUGGGCUGCCUUCGGGUCACCAGUGAGUGACACAGAGUCGGGGAUCAACGCAGGGCCACUACACCCAGGAAGGUUUUAAAUCUGAUGACGUCUGCCUUAUGCUGUCUUUGUUUCCCCUGCUUUGGCGUCCUGAGAGACCACGUGAACGAAGAAGGUGGUGUUCUCUCCCAAGCGUUCAUCAUCUGAGGCUCAACCUGGCCUCUGAUUUCACUCUGUGCCCCUUUUAUGUUUGCUAUGAAGUCUUUGCAUAUGAACGCAGUCCCCCGCCUGCUGCUCUUUACCCGACGGUUGGUUCUGACACCCUUGUUACAAGUGACCAUAAAAGGCAGUGUGAGAUGAGUUUCAGAAAACUACGUCUUUCAUUUCUACAGUGUUUAAAGAAGAACCUCAACACCCUAGCUCAAGUUACGGUAACCCUUCUGAAUAAAUAAAAAUGUUCAGAAUAGAAACCACUUCAAUGCUUUCUUGUUUCCUCAAAUCCAGUUAGAAAAUUCUACGUAUACCUAGAUGUGGUUUUUCAUCAGGACAGACCAUGGAAGUCAAUAAGCUGCAGAACUGAGUGUGUGCAUAAGGUUUCCCUAGUUGAUAUGUGUGUGUGUGUGUGUGUGUGUGUGUAUGUUUGUGUGCAUGUAUAUGCUCAUUAACCUUGAGUUCUACC